UACGUAGGGGGCUAGCGUUGUCCGGAAUCAUUGGGCGUAAAGCGCGUGUAGGCGGUCCGGUAAGUCCGCUGUGAAAGUCGGGGGCUCAACCCUCGGAUGCCGGUGGAUACUGUCGGGCUUGAGUACGGAAGAGGCGAGUGGAAUUCCUGGUGUAGCGGUGGAAUGCGCAGAUAUCAGGAGGAACACCAACGGCGAAGGCAGCUCGCUGGGACGGUACUGACGCUGAGGCGCGAAAGCGUGGGGAGCAAACAGG
Molecule: ribosomal RNA, 253 nt
Filed under: uncultured bacterium
Lineage: Bacteria
Description: partial 16S ribosomal RNA
Rfam family: Bacterial small subunit ribosomal RNA
Source: RNAcentral